Molecule: small nucleolar RNA, 133 nt
Organism: Grammomys surdaster
Lineage: Eukaryota; Metazoa; Chordata; Mammalia; Rodentia; Muridae
Product: small nucleolar RNA SNORA17
Exons: 1
Source: RefSeq, a predicted model, not a curated record
CCAACCCUUAGAGGUAUUGCAGCUUUGGUGGCUGUAUCACAUGUGUUGACAGUAGGUGGCAGUGUGGAAAGAGGCUAUGUCAAAGCUCAGCGUUCUUACCUGUGGACAUCUGUAUAAUUACUAGCAUAACAUU